Molecule: non-coding RNA, 89 nt
Filed under: Devosia chinhatensis
Lineage: Bacteria; Pseudomonadati; Pseudomonadota; Alphaproteobacteria; Hyphomicrobiales; Devosiaceae
Description: Glycine sequence
Rfam family: Glycine riboswitch aptamer
About the family: This family represents the bacterial glycine riboswitch.
Source: Rfam by way of RNAcentral
CGCAGGACUGCGGGAGAGACUGGUCCAGCGCCAGCGCCGAAGGAGCAACCGCCCCGGAAACUCUCAGGCAAACGGACCGCAGUCAGGUC